This 713-nucleotide long non-coding RNA is filed under the name Monodelphis domestica (gray short-tailed opossum). Its description in RNAcentral is "lncRNA (ENSMODG00000038277.1)". Lineage: Eukaryota; Metazoa; Chordata; Mammalia; Didelphimorphia; Didelphidae. The record is from RNAcentral.
CGCAAGGGCAACCAGGUCCUGUGAACUCGACUUCCUCCCUCGUCUCCACCAUUGCGCAGGCGCAAAUUAUCACAUUCAGCCCUUCCCACCGCUUCCCGCCCUUCUUUGAAACUUCUGGCGUCCUGUUGUGGGCGGAAAAAACGCCUCUAUCUCUCUGCGCAGGCGCAGCCUGUCCGGAAAGCCCCAGAUGGGUUCACGAAGAAACAGACAGCCAAGAGAAGAAAGAAAAUAGAAAAUUUUGGGGAAAAUUUAGAGUUUUCUGACAGAGGAUUCAUAUCUCAAACACCUAGGGAACUGAAAGAUAUAUAAGAAUAGGACUCAUUCCCCAAAUGAUAAAUAGUCAAAGGAAUGACCAGGCAGUUUCUGGAAGAAGAAAAGCUAUCUAUAGCCAUAUGACAAAAAUACUCCCAAGUCAUUGAUUAGAAAAAUGCAAACCAAAACAACUCUGAGAUAUCCCAUACCUAUCAGAUUGAAUUAAAUGAUAAAAGGGCAAAAUGACAUGUUGUAGGGGAUGUGGGAAAAUGGGGACACUAAUACACUGUUGGUGGAACUGUGGACUGACCCAGUCAUUUUGAAGAGCAAUCUGGGAUUAUUUCCUGAAAGUUACAAAACUGGGUAUACUCUUUGACCCAGUAAUACCACUAUUAGGUUGUUUUUCUAAGGUGAUCAGAGAAAAAAAGAAAAAACCUACAUGUUCUAAAAUAUUUAUAUCA